UUGAACGCUGGCGGCAUGCCUUACACAUGCAAGUCGAACGGCAGCAUGAUCUAGCUUGCUAGAUUGAUGGCGAGUGGCGAACGGGUGAGUAAUACAUCGGAACGUGCCCUGUAGUGGGGGAUAACUAGUCGAAAGAUUAGCUAAUACCGCAUACGACCUGAGGGUGAAAGUGGGGGACCGCAAGGCCUCAUGCUAUAGGAGCGGCCGAUGUCUGAUUAGCUAGUUGGUGAGGUAAAGGCUCACCAAGGCGACGAUCAGUAGCUGGUCUGAGAGGACGAUCAGCCACACUGGGACUGAGACACGGCCCAGACUCCUACGGGAGGCAGCAGUGGGGAAUUUUGGACAAUGGGGGCAACCCUGAUCCAGCAAUGCCGCGUGUGUGAAGAAGGCCUUCGGGUUGUAAAGCACUUUUGUCCGGAAAGAAAUCGCACUUACUAAUAUUAGGUGUGGAUGACGGUACCGGAAGAAUAAGGACCGGCUAACUACGUGCCAGCAGCCGCGGUAAUACGUAGGGUCCAAGCGUUAAUCGGAAUUACUGGGCGUAAAGCGUGCGCAGGCGGUUGUGCAAGACCGAUGUGAAAUCCCCGGGCUUAACCUGGGAAUUGCAUUGGUGACUGCACGGCUAGAGUGUGUCAGAGGGGGGUAGAAUUCCACGUGUAGCAGUGAAAUGCGUAGAGAUGUGGAGGAAUACCGAUGGCGAAGGCAGCCCCCUGGGAUAACACUGACGCUCAUGCACGAAAGCGUGGGGGAGCAAACAGGAUUAGAUACCCUGGUAGUCCACGCCCUAAACGAUGUCAACUAGUUGUUGGGGAUUCAUUUCCUUAGUAACGUAGCUAACGCGUGAAGUUGACCGCCUGGGGAGUACGGUCGCAAGAUUAAAACUCAAAGGAAUUGACGGGGACCCGCACAAGCGGUGGAUGAUGUGGAUUAAUUCGAUGCAACGCGAAAAACCUUACCUACCCUUGACAUGCCACUAACGAAGCAGAGAUGCAUUAGGUGCUCGAAAGAGAAAGUGGACACAGGUGCUGCAUGGCUGUCGUCAGCUCGUGUCGUGAGAUGUUGGGUUAAGUCCCGCAACGAGCGCAACCCUUGUCUCUAGUUGCUACGAAAGGGCACUCUAGAGAGACUGCCGGUGACAAACCGGAGGAAGGUGGGGAUGACGUCAAGUCCUCAUGGCCCUUAUGGGUAGGGCUUCACACGUCAUACAAUGGUGCAUACAGAGGGUUGCCAAGCCGCGAGGUGGAGCUAAUCCCAGAAAAUGCAUCGUAGUCCGGAUCGUAGUCUGCAACUCGACUACGUGAAGCUGGAAUCGCUAGUAAUCGCGGAUCAGCAUGCCGCGGUGAAUACGUUCCCGGGUCUUGUACACACCGCC
RNAcentral lists this ribosomal RNA (1372 nucleotides) under uncultured beta proteobacterium. RNAcentral's name for it is "bacterial SSU rRNA". It matches the Rfam family "Bacterial small subunit ribosomal RNA", at positions 29 to 1394 of the family's 1533-position model. The record is from RNAcentral. Lineage: Bacteria; Pseudomonadati; Pseudomonadota; Betaproteobacteria.